Long non-coding RNA from Vespula vulgaris, 1565 nucleotides. RefSeq lists it as uncharacterized. The record is from RefSeq and is a predicted model, not a curated record. The transcript is spliced from 4 exons. Lineage: Eukaryota; Metazoa; Arthropoda; Insecta; Hymenoptera; Vespidae.
GAAGGAAUAAACAAAAUAGUGACGAAGCAAACAUCGGCCCUUAUUCUGCCAGCAGUUCCUGACGUGACUUUGGUAGAAGAGAUGAUGAGGGCUCUCCGACAGCGAAAAAGGAACAAAUGUGAAGAAAAAAAAGAAAGAAAGAGAAAGAGAGAGAGAAAGAGAGAGGAUGACUCGUGGUCGAGAGACGUUGACACUCUGGCAACAAUAAAAACGAUACAUCGAGGCGUAACGAAUGCGAUAUAAAUAAAAUAAUCGUGAAACGCAAAGAGUCCCCUUCGUAAAAGGGCCGAAAAAGGAUUCACGCUUCGAACGAAUUCGAAUGAUCGGAGAUACACGUGUGACGUAUUAAUUGGAACCAAAUCGUUCGAGCAAAUGACGAAAUUGAGCAGAAAAUUUCCAAUUUGGAUUUCGAAGGGGAGAAUUCAAUUUUAUGUUCAAUAAUAAAUACCGAGAGUAAUUCCAUUACAUGGAUGUGUCUGAUCGGUCCAAGGAGGACGAUUAUUAAACGAUUUUUCCUUUACGCAAGACGAGAGGAGUAAGCGUUCGGUCAUCGAUGGCUUGCUUAUAUUCACCUUCAUUACCGACGGAUCCAUUAAAGCUCGAACCAAGGAAAGGAGUCCAAGGAGGAGGAGGAGAAGGCUGUUUAUUCCGAUCAUUCGGUAGUAGAAACUCGUGUUCCUCCAUCGUUCUCUACCGUACUUUUACAUCGAACGUCGACCAUUUCCAUGGAGUGAAUGACGAAUGGGCAAAAGUCAUGACGAAUUAUUACGCGAGGUACGUCAUGCAUCAUGCUGCCAGCGUUUAUCGCGCGGGAAUAAAACGAAAGGAUCGGUCGCAACGAUGUGUGCUAGUGUCUUCUUAAAUUUCAUACUACACAACGACGAAGAGGAGGAGGAAGAAGAAGAAGAAGAAAAGAAGGAGGAAGAUGAAGAUGGAGGUAAAGGUGGAGGUAGAGAUGGAGUAGCACAAAAUGACUUCCACCAAAGUGCCGAGAGACGGUAGAGGAGGUGCGUCGUCUAUCAGUUCCACGCUAUCUGAUAUCGCUUGGUAAAAGGCCGGUGAACGCGGACACGGCCAAGUCAAUGAUUUCAAUCUGCUGUCAAUGCCAACCAACUUUCGCUCGGUGGAGUCAUUUACUAGCCUCUGCUGCUGCUGCUCAGGAUCACUGUUGGCGCGGUCUGCCCGUUGAUACUCGAUCAUAUUCAAGUAACUAAGACCGUUCCUUCUCUUUCUCUCUUCAGUCUCUCUUUUUCUCGUUUUUCUGCAAUGGCUACCGGCGCGAUUAUCUCUACACAACAACUAUACGAGCAUCGACGAUGGAUAUGCGAGCCGCGAGAUAUUCGUCGAAUAUCAUCGUGGAUUUCUUUCUUUUUUCUUCUUUUUUCUUUACUUCUUCUUUUUCUUCUUUUCUUUUCUUUUCUUUUCUUUUCUUUUCUUUUCUUUUCUUUUCUUUUCUUUUUUACAUUGCGCAAGUAUACGUGAGUGAUGGUAGAGAGUCCUCCUCGAGGAAUACAAGUAGUUACAAGUCGAAUAAGUAAUUUUUGCGUUUCUUUUUAUUAUACCAA